RNAcentral lists this ribosomal RNA (253 nucleotides) under uncultured bacterium. Its description in RNAcentral is "partial 16S ribosomal RNA". It matches the Rfam family "Bacterial small subunit ribosomal RNA", at positions 524 to 776 of the family's 1533-position model. The record is from RNAcentral.
UACGGAGGGCGCAAGCGUUGUUCGGAAUCACUGGGCGUAAAGCGCGUGUAGGCGGCUUGGUAAGUCGGGUGUGAAAGCCCGGAGCUCAACUCCGGAACUGCACUCGAAACUGCCUCGCUCGAGUCCCGGAGAGGGUGGUGGAAUUCCCGGUGUAGAGGUGGAAUUCGUAGAUAUCGGGAGGAACACCAGUGGCGAAGGCGGGCACCUGGACGGUGACUGACGCUGAGACGCGAAAGCGUGGGGAGCAAACAGG